Molecule: small RNA, 27 nt
Filed under: Bombyx mori (domestic silkworm)
Lineage: Eukaryota; Metazoa; Arthropoda; Insecta; Lepidoptera; Bombycidae
Description: ovarian small RNA-24315
Source: RNAcentral
UAUUUCCAAUGUGUCUGAUGAAGUUGA